Long non-coding RNA from Peromyscus leucopus (white-footed mouse), 414 nucleotides. RefSeq lists it as uncharacterized. The record is from RefSeq and is a predicted model, not a curated record. The transcript has 3 exons. Lineage: Eukaryota; Metazoa; Chordata; Mammalia; Rodentia; Cricetidae.
UGGCGGAAGCCCGGAGGACCAGGAACUAACAAAGAAAAUGGGGGUGGAAUGGAGCCCCGAGCGACAAGCUUACAUCAUGGAUGGACAGAGGACUCCCCUACCAAGAAGGAGACCGCUAACGUGGUAACCAAAAAACUCCUGGAUGACAUCUUUCCCAGCCCUACCUUGGAGGCGCACCUCCAAGCCCUCCAAUUGGUGCAAAAGACGGUGUGGAAACCCCUGCCUACCGGGAGCAACUGAACCGCCCGGUGGUGCCUCACCCAUUCAAGAUUGGGGACUCUGUCUGGGUCCAACGCCAUCAAUCCAGGAACCUAGAGCCGAGGUUGACGGGAUAGCGGCUUGGGUCCACGCAUCGCAUGUGAAGGCUGCCAAGGAACCCGACGAAGCUGAGGGCACCGAGACAUCUAGUUCAAC